AAACAACGAGGCGUCCAGAGUUCAAACGUAGCCCUGAGCCGCCGGGGCCUCUGCCCUUGGCCGGGGCCGGAGCCCAGCCAGCAGCUCGGCGGGGAGCCGAGCCCGGGCCGGGCCCACGCUGCGGGCCCUACCUGCGAGGGGCAGGAGCGGGACCGAGGGGCGCUGCGGCUCCCCGGGGCUCCCCCCGACGGCGGCGGCGGCCCCUCGCCCACCCUCCUUCCCUCUCUGCCUGCCUCCCGCACCUGCGGGCCGAGCCCCGCGGGAGGAGGACGAGCUCUUUCCUUCCCCCUCCGCCCCGUCGGCUCCUAAAAUGUCUUUAUUUUUGCACGCCGGAACCCUUCCGCUCCCCACCCCCAGCAGGCAGCCAGGGUUUUAAGGACAGCACCGGGUACCAGAAGAGGCGUCCUCGCAGCGUGGGGCAGGGUUCAGACCUCAGAGAUCCCGACAUCGUGUCCUGGAUUGUCAGAUUAAGAUAUCCAGUGCCAUCUCCUACCUGAAUCUUUUUUCCUAAUAAUUUCAUGAGGCUGCUGAUGUGUACCCACCUGGACACUCUGGAGCAAAAGAGGAGGAGCUUGACGUGGAACUGGAGAAACCCUGUAGCCCACACCUGGGCAUUCCUCAACUCUCCCUUCCUUAUGUGGGAUCUCCCAGGCAGGAAAACUGCCCCCACAAGUGGCAUGCUCAAAACCCUACUCAGCCAGCGACAAAAUUGUAUUUGUGCUAGCUACUGCUUUCUGAUUCAGCUAAUGCUUUCCUUUGCUUGUAUGGAUGAAUAAUUUUAUCAUAGUGGAACAGCUUCUGCAGUUGAUACACCUAUUCCAUACCACUGCAUUUGAAGUCAGCUGGGAGGAAAUGGAUGCUUCAAAUUCCCAGAAGUCAAGAGGGAAAUCAGCUCUGCAUCAGGUGUUUCAUGGGUUGGUGUGCAAAACUCUGGGCCAUUACAUAAACAGGUGAUGCUUCUUCCCACUGCAUUUAUAAGCUCCUAGCAGCUGGCAGUGAGCUGGAACUGGGAAUGCUGGAUGGGAAAUGGCACCUCUGUCUUCUAGAAAAGGAUUAUGUAUUGUUUAGGAAUGGCUUAACCUUUACCCUUCUUCUUGGCACCUCCAGCAGCUUCAGAGGCACUUUUCUUAUUUGCUUUUGUGAAUCAUAUCCUGAGGUACCUUGCUUUCCCUGCCCAUUGCACUGGAAAUUUGAGUGUCUAAGUUUUGGAUUACCUAGUGGGGAGAAGUGCCUCAAAGUCAUAACAUGCAGCUCUCAAUAUCACAGUAUUUAUGUCCUUCUAUGGGCCAGCUUUUCUUCCCUAACUCCGUGGGAACUGGGCUCCUAACUUCCAUGUGGACCCAUGAAAAUUGCUGAAAUGCCAUUAAGGUACUUCUUCCCUUAGUGGCAUGGAGGAAAGGUCAGUGAGUGAUACCAUGUGGACCCAUGAAAAUUGCUGAAAUGCCAUUAAGGUACUUCCUCCCUUAGUGGCAUGGAGGAAAGGUCAGUGGGUGAUAGGUAUGCUGCAGACUCACAGAAUCACUGGGAUUGGAAGACACCUCUGGAGAUCAUCUACCCCACUCAGAGCAGGGUCAACUGGAAUAGGCUGCUGUGCCACAGUAGCCACAACUGUGUCCAGUAGGGUUUUAAAUAUCUCCAGGGGUGGAGACUCCACAACUUCUCUGGGCAACCUGUGCCAGUUUAACCACUUUCAUGGUAAAAGAAAGGGGUUUUGUUUGUUUAGAAUAUCUGCUUAUCUGGAACACCACACAGUGUGAGCAGGAGAGGUCCUGCCACAUGCUGGGAACAAUCUUUCAUCUGUAGGAGGAUGAGAUACAGUGAUUCAACAUUUUUGGCAAGUAGAGCCAUAGCUGAUGUGCUCUGUGGUGAAAGUUGAGAGCCAGCAUUAGUGGGAAACAGGACAGAGAGUAUAAAAGAGAAACGGGCCGGGUGGAUUGAGAAGCAUCAUCUCCCAUUUCAGUCCUCCAUAUGCUGGACUGCACCACCUGAGUACCCAGCACAUUCAUUUUACUCCAGGAAGAAAAAAAUAGCCACAUUUCCUCCUGCUCCUUAGUUGUUGUUUGCUCUCUGGUUAGCAGAGUCCUAGCAUCCAUCCUGUGCAGUUUAUUUCCAUAGACCCCUCUCCAGCACACUGUGAGAAAUGCAGUCUUCCAGACCUCAGCUCAGCUUUGGUGCCACAGGUCCCAUGCUCUUACUAUUUCUGUAGGUGCUAGCACAUUACUGAGCUAGAGCAAAUGCUGGAGUAAAAGGGAAUAAAAUGUUCAGAUUUGUACAGUUCAUUCAGCUUUUUUAUCUCGAAUACAGCCUUAUUUAUAUUGACAGGGAUUAUAUCUAGAUUUCUGUAGCUAUUCUUUUGGAUUCACUCGGCAGAAAGAAUGCAAUGGAAUAUUAAGCUGUUUCUGUAUGUAAAUCAUCUCUCAGAAAUACAGGUUUGAGCCUCCCCAGUUCAGAUUUAGGUGUGUAUCAUACUCUGAUUUCCCUUUGUGACAGCAGAUAGGAAGGAACAGUAUUUUGAGCUUUGAUUUUGUUACUUACUUUUAUAGUAGCAUUUAUAGCAUUAUAAUAUUUGUGUCUGAUGUGCAAACUAGGCUAUUGCCCUAAAUGGAUUACUUGCUAAAACCCACUUUCUUACAGGUGCUGCCAAGAAACAGAUAGACAAGUCUUCAGAUUCACCAUCAGAGACAAAGUCUACUAUUAGAGGCAUGAGGUUACUGAAAACAAAUCAUCCUGGUCCCUUCACCAGUUCAACCAUCAGUCUUGGCGAAAAUUGACCACCUAAUGCAAUCAUUGGGCAGGAGGCCACUAUGGGUAGUUUAAGAUCUGGAGAUUCACAUGAUGAGAAGGUGAAAGAGGCUGAGACAAAAUUGGAGUUGAUGACCAUAUAGUGCUGCAGAAGGAGGUGGAUCUGUGCAACACUGGAAAAGGCCACACGGGGGACAACGCCACAAGGUAGCUGAUACUCUACAGAAAGCGGUGCAAUACAGAUUGAUUGCUACCGCUCAUCAAAAAGAUACAUUUCUGAAAGAGCCUAGACAAAAGUCUAUAUACCGGUGUAAUUAAUUCAUUACACUUUAGUUUUGCUGUAUGAGGGCUGAAUUAGGUCCUCCGUAAUAAUUUCAGGUGAAAUAAAUAUCUAGAGAGUUAGCCCACAUACACAGAAGAAGGUAAAAAAUACCUGUGUGAGUAAAGAAGUCCAACCCAACAAAGGGAAAAUUAUUCUCCAAUGCAUCCUUUUUACAUGAUUUCACAUGAAUGUGUGAAAUAACAUCUGACCUUGUCGGUUUCUGAGAAGUCACAGGUCUCUGCAGUUUCUCUUAGACUAAAAAAAUAGGUACAGCUGCUGAUCUGAGAGCCUCUGCAAGAUAAGGGACUACUGGAAAAGAUGGUGAGCACAACACUGUGCAUACACAGAUACAACAAGAAAUGUGGCAGAGUAGUACCAUGUAUUUCUGGCACCAGACAAUUUAAUUAUUAUUAUUUCUGUUUUAUUUUACUUUUUGGAAGAGCAGACACAGCCAUAGGCUAAUAAGGUAUGUUUUAGGUGUGAAUCCUAAUCAUGAUGAUUUUAUUUAAAUGGGCUUUGUCAAUGAUAAGUUAAAUCAAGAGUAAAAACAGCAUGGGGUUUUAUUAGACUCGGUGCAUUAUGCAGGAAAACAUGCAGGAUUCCAUCAGCAGCCUGCUGAUGCAGGUGAACUGCUGAACUGAUGGAUUCUCCCCAACAGCUUUAUUAGCACCUGAACAUUUCAGCUUCCUGUGGAGGUGAAUUAAUGCACAAAACUUCUUCUGGCCUGAAAGAAGCUGUGGGCUGUUCCAUCUUUUUCUGUCAGUCCACCUGGUGUCUUCGGGACCAUUUUUCUUCCUUUCUUUGCAGUAUGUGCGGCUGGGGUUCCAAAACAAAGUCCUCUGACUCAGUUUAAGAGGUUCCCUUUUCCAGUGUCACCCUUUUCCUCACAUUCCCCCAAUCUCAUACCAGUGCCUUCUUAGAUGCAGACACCCAGCUGUCUGUGCAGCUGCCAGUAAUAACCAGUCCCAUGCUGAACAAGGGAGAGUAGGAACAGAUGCUAACAAUUUGUUGCUCAGAGGUAGGAGGGAUCUGUUGGGGUCAGGUAAGGACAGAAAGCUCUUGAACUGGCUUGCUGUCAGAGCAGUAGUGCCAUAGAGGUGCACCUUCAGAAAAAAUCAACUAUGAAACAACAAUGUGCAUCUUAUUUUCCCUUUUAAUCUGAUUUUAUGUCUGCUAAAACCAAAAUAAAUCACCUAAACAACA
This is a long non-coding RNA of Anas platyrhynchos (mallard), 4267 nucleotides long. RefSeq lists it as uncharacterized. NCBI's taxonomy places the organism in Eukaryota, Metazoa, Chordata, Aves, Anseriformes, Anatidae. The record is from RefSeq and is a predicted model, not a curated record.